Molecule: ribosomal RNA, 754 nt
Filed under: uncultured archaeon
Lineage: Archaea
Description: bacterial SSU rRNA
Rfam family: Archaeal small subunit ribosomal RNA
Source: RNAcentral
GGUCAACAUACCCAGAGGACGUGGAUAACCUCGGGAAACUGAGGAUAAACCGCGAUAGACCAUAAUGUCUGGAAUGAUUUAUGGUUCAAAUCUACAUGGCCUCUGGAUUGGACUGCGGCCGAUCAGGCUGUUGGUGAGGUAAUGGCCCACCAAACCUGAAACCGGUACGGGCUCUGAGAGGAGAAGCCCGGAGAUGGGCACUGAGACAAGGGCCCAGGCCCUAUGGGGCGCAGCAGGCGCGAAAUCUUUGCAAUAGGCGAAAGCCUGACAAGGUUACUCUGAGUGAUCUCCGCUAAGGAAAUCUUUUGACACCUCUAAAAAUGGUGUAGAAUAAGGGGUGGGCAAGCCUGGUGUCAGCCGCCGCGGUAAUACCAGCACCCCGAGUGGUCGGGACGAUUAUUGGGCCUAAAGCAUCCGUAGCCGGUUCCUUAAGUCCUCCGUUAAAUCCACCUGCUUAACAGAUGGGCUGCGGAGGAUACUAUAGAGCUAGGAGGCGGGAGAGGCAAGCGGUACUCAGUGGGUAGGGGUAAAAUCCGUUGAUCCAUUGAAGACCACCAGUGGCGAAGGCGGCUUGCCAGAACGCGCUCGACGGUGAGGGAUGAAAGCUGGGGGAGCAAACCGGAUUAGAUACCCGGGUAGUCCCAGCUGUAAACGAUGCAGACUCGGUGAUGAACAGGCUUCGCGCCUGUUCAGUGCCGCAGGGAAGCCGUUAAGUCUGCCGCCUGGGGAGUACGGUCGCAAGACUGAAACUUAA